This 501-nucleotide ribosomal RNA is filed under the name uncultured bacterium. RNAcentral describes it as "partial 16S ribosomal RNA". It matches the Rfam family "Bacterial small subunit ribosomal RNA", at positions 30 to 523 of the family's 1533-position model. The record is from RNAcentral.
AUUGAACGCUGGCCGCAUGCCUUACACAUGCAAGUCGAACGGCAGCACGGGUGCUUGCACCUGGUGGCGAGUGGCGAACGGGUGAGUAAUACAUCGGAACGUACCUUAUCGUGGGGGAUAACGCAGCGAAAGCUGUGCUAAUACCGCAUACGUCCUGAGGGGGAAAGCGGGGGAUCGCAAGACCUCGCGCGAUUAGAGCGGCCGAUGCCUGAUUAGCUUGUUGGUGGGGUAAAAGCCCACCAAGGCGACGAUCAGUAGCUGGUCUGAGAGGACGAUCAGCCACACUGGGACUGAGACACGGCCCAGACUCCUACGGGAGGCAGCAGUGGGGAAUUUUGGACAAUGGGGGCAACCCUGAUCCAGCAAUGCCGCGUGAGUGAAGGAGGCCUUCGGGUUGUAAAGCUCUUUUGUCAGGGAAGAAACACCGGCUCUAACACAGUCUGGGAAUGACGGUACCUGAAGAAUAAGCACCGGCUAACUACGUGCCAGCCGCCGCUGUAA